UAUUUUUGAUAACUCUAAGAAUAUUUUUGAUAACUCCUUCUCUUCUCAAAUAGUAAUGCCUUUGUGGCCCCUUGGAUGCACUGCCGUUGAAAGUUUUCGAAUGGACUCUCGAUUUUUAUAGCAAUUUCACGAUCCGUAUGUUUGUUUUCUUUUCACGUUGAAGUUUUACAACUUAAAAGCCCAGAUCUCCCUCUCAACGAAUGUUAUAACUUCUAUAAAAGAAACUAAAACCCUAAAAUCUUCCAGAUCUCUCGAAACAAGAACCCUGGUCCCAGUCGUCAAAGAAACAUUUGUCUCUUGAAGCCCUAAUAUUUAAGAUCGACUAAUAGUGAGUUGGAGAUAUCGUCUGAUCGCACCGAAAAGCACUCAAUCAAGCCAAAUCCUUAAUCACCAGGUGCGCAGCUUUCUCUCUCUCUCUCUCUCUCUCUCUCUUAAACACACACUCGUGCACUACAAAGCACAACGAUGAUGAGUAGUACAUUUGGGAGUCACAGGCUGGUGGCUCCUUUACAGUGACAAGGGAUGCUAAUGGGAGGCCUUUAGGCAGGGUACCAAGAUUCUCUUCUUCUUGGAGGAGGAUCAGAGACUCUCUCUCUACUGUACUGUGUUCGUCUGUUAAGAAGCACACUGAGUUCAUCAGCUGUCCCAUCUAUACAAGGAGGAGGUUAGCAAUCGGUGGGCUCUGGUAACCUGGUUAACGAGCAAAAUCCCAAUUGGUUGAGAGCCAGAAGAUAUAACAAAGGAAGUGUGUUUCUUUCUACAAAUCACUGACCAACGACAGGGAAGAUCACCUUACUGUUAAGUGUUUCUCAGUUUGAGGGCCAGCUUGAGUUCAAGGCUAUUCUCUUUGUUUCAAAGAGGGCUCCAUUUGACCUCCUUGAUACUCGAAAGAAGCUGGAAAACAUCAAGCUCUAUGUUCGCAGGGCGUUUUGCAUCAACAAUUAUGAGAAGCUCAUCCGUGAAUGCAUAGGAUUUGGGAGAUGUUGCAGCAACACAAGAUCCUCAACGUUAUUGAAAAGAACAUUGUGAAGAAGGGAGAAUUUGACAAGAUGCUUAAGUUUGGUCUAAGCAUCGAUGAAGCUGAAGCUUCCAAGGAUGCCGACGUGCCUCAACUUAAGGAUGACGAGUAAGAUGAAAGAAGUUGACUAAAUAAAGUGGCACCUGGGAAUCUCUCUCCCACUUUCUCUUUCUCUCUCUAACGCAAGAACUGAAGUUUUUGGUCAUUUUUGGAGGGGGAAUGUAGAAAGUAUGAGUUGUUAAAUCGUGUUUCAUGGACGGUAAUGUUUUUUAAAGUAAUUAUUUCGUUAAUGAAAUAAAAUGAAAUUCAAUUUUAUUAUUUGGA
Molecule: non-coding RNA, 1342 nt
Organism: Amborella trichopoda
Lineage: Eukaryota; Viridiplantae; Streptophyta; Magnoliopsida; Amborellales; Amborellaceae
Source: RefSeq, a predicted model, not a curated record